Molecule: ribosomal RNA, 464 nt
Filed under: uncultured Myxococcales bacterium
Lineage: Bacteria; Pseudomonadati; Myxococcota; Myxococcia; Myxococcales
Description: bacterial SSU rRNA
Rfam family: Bacterial small subunit ribosomal RNA
Source: RNAcentral
CCUACGGGCGGCUGCAGUGGGGAAUAUUGGACAAUGGGCGCAAGCCUGAUCCAGCCACGCCGCGUGAGUGAUGAAGGCCUUCGGGUCGUAAAGCUCUGUGGGGAGGGACGAACCGCCACUCGUGCAUAGCGGGUGGCAUGACGGUACCUCCUUAGCAAGCACCGGCUAACUUCGUGCCAGCAGCCGCGGUAAUACGAAGGGUGCAAACGUUGCUCGGAAUCAUUGGGCGUAAAGCGCACGUAGGCGGCUCACCAAGUCGGACGUGAAAUCCCUCAGCUCAACUGAGGACGUGCAUCCGAAACUGGCGAGCUUGAGUAUGGAAGAGGGUCGCGGAAUUCCCGGUGUAGAGGUGAAAUUCGUAGAUAUCGGGAGGAACACCAGUGGCGAAGGCGGCGACCUGGGCCAAUACUGACGCUGAGGUGCGAAAGCGUGGGGAGCAAACAGGAUUAGAUACCCGUGUAGUC